This 1442-nucleotide ribosomal RNA is filed under the name Segatella copri. RNAcentral's name for it is "partial 23S ribosomal RNA". It matches the Rfam family "Bacterial large subunit ribosomal RNA", at positions 214 to 1640 of the family's 2925-position model. Lineage: Bacteria; Pseudomonadati; Bacteroidota; Bacteroidia; Bacteroidales; Prevotellaceae. The record is from RNAcentral.
AGGAAGAGAAAAUAAAUGAAUGAUUCCCCCAGUAGUGGCGAGCGAACGGGGAACAGCCCAAACCGUUGACGUCGCAAGGCGCCAGCGGGGUUGUAGGACCGCGACAUUGUAUGCAAAUCGUGAACAGAACACUUUGGAAAAUGUGACCAUAGACGGUGAUAGUCCAGUAUGUGAAGCGAAAUGCAGCAUAGCGGUAUCCUGAGUAACGCGGGACACGAGGAAUCCUGCGCGAAUCUGCCGGGACCAUCCGGUAAGGCUAAAUACUCCCGUGAGACCGAUAGCGAACGAGUACUGUGAAGGAAAGGUGAAAAGAACCCCGAGCAGGGGAGUGAAAUAGUUCCUGAAACCAUACGCCUACAAGCGGUCGGAGCAUCUUACGAUGUGACGGCGUGCCUUUUGCAUAAUGAUCCUACGAGUUACCGUCACUGGCGAGGUUGAGUGUCAUGAGACACGUAGCCGCAGUGAAAGCGAGCCUGAACAGGGCGCAUAGUCAGUGGGGGUAGACGCGAAACCAAGUGAUCUACACUUGGCCAGGAUGAAGUCCCGGUAACACGGGAUGGAGGUCCGCACCAAUAAGCGUUGAAAAGCUUCUGGAUGAGCCGAGUGUAGGAGUGAAAGGCCAAUCAAACUUGGAGAUAGCUCGUACUCCCCGAAAGGCAUUUAGGUGCCGCGUCGGAUGGUCACCGUGAGAGGUAGAGCGACCGAUAGGACAAGAGGGCUUCACCGCCUAUCGAGUCCUGACGAACUCCGAAUGCUCACGGUUUGCAGUCCGGCAGUAAGGGGGCGGGUGCUAAGGUCCGUCCCCGAGAGGAGAAGAAUCCAGACCGCCGUCUAAGGUCCCGGAGUUCUGCCUGAGUUAGUCUAACGAAGUCUGGUCCCUAUGACAGCUAGGAUGUUGGCUUGGAAGCAGCCAUUCAUUCAAAGAGUGCGUAACAGCUCACUAGUCGAGGGUCCGGGCAUGGAUAAUAAUCGGGUAUAAGGCAGACACCGAAGGCGCGGGAUAGCAUUUAAGAAAGUAUCGGUAGGGGAGCAUACUCACAGCGUGGAAUGGUGUACGUAAGUUAUCCUGGAGCGGUGAGUAAAGCAAAUGUAGGAAUAAGUAACGAUAAGGAGGGUUAGAUUCCCUCCCGCUGUAAGACCAAGGUUUCCCGGGCAAUGCCAAUCAGCCCGGGGUCAGUCGGGUCCUAAGUCUAAGCCGAACGGCGAUGGCGAUGGCAGAGACGGUUAAUAUUCCGUCACUGCCGCAUGGGGCGACGUGGAGACGGAGCAGUGAAACCACCGCGGGGCGACGGAAGUCCCCGUUGAAGAGUGUAGGUGUUGAGGAUGGCAGGCAAAUCCACCGUCCGAGCUGAACUUGAUAGUAUGGAGUCUUCUUCGGAAGAAUCCAAUAGUGUGGGUAAUCAUACUCCCGAGAAAAUCCGCUAAGCUUAACCCAUGCGGCA